AGAUCUGCUGUCAUCCGAGCAGGUAGGGAGCUGGGAUCUGAGAUCGGCCCCCAGGCUCGGAUGCUGAGGGCGGGCACACAGGGGCCUGUGGGACCCUCCGGGGUCCCCCUGGCUGUGGAAGCGGCUCCAGGCCCCCGUCCGUAUCUGGGGCAGAUCAGCUGGGAAGCGACAGGGACAAGGGUGGCACUAAUCUCUGUGUCCCCAGGGACGGCCCUGGCGGGGACAGGGGCAGGAGGUGGUUGGAUGUCACCUUGGCCCCCUCCCAGGCGCCGACACCUGCUCGGGUUUCGCAGCCAUCCUGCGGCUGUCACAGAUAACACCUUGGGCGCUCACCGGCUGUCCAGGGAACAAGGGCUGGCACCAUUCGGCGGCAGAGGAUUUUUUUGCAGUUCAAGAAAGAUUGAUUGGAAAGGCAGCAUGACAGAGGAGGAAGGAGACAGAUUUUGUAUCCACUGGUUCGCUCCCCAAAUGCCUGUAACAGUCAGAGCUGACGCCAGGAGCCAGGGAGCCCACCCCGCCUCUCACGUGAGUGGCCAGGUCGCCCCUGUACCCCGGGAGCCCGUCCCCCAGGCUCUCCCAGCAAACUGGAUCAGCAUGUGCUGAGUCCCAACCCUGCCCGGGCCAGGUCUCCACCUGUGUGCACACACGGCCACACGCAUGUGCACACACCCAUGCCCGCAGUCUGUACGGAGGACCCUGGCACUCGGGUUCCAGGCCACGUGGAAGCAGUGACGUCGGCAACGUCGGGGGUCACGACAGGCAGUGCCGGUACCAGGAGGGAGUCCCCCACGGCCUGCCUGCGCCCCACGGCCGCCUCUGCCUGCCAAGGCCCGUUCACCCCCCUUCGAAGCCUGGGGCCCCCAAGCUGUGGUGCAUAACCGGAGGGACUGUGGGGGGACGGCACCACAAGCCAGACCUGCAGGCCCCAGCAAAACCACAAGGCCCCAGCACUGGGCAGGCGGGGGGUGGAGCAGGAGGGCCCCCUCCCCGCCUGUCGUGCCAGCCCCCCGCCCCCCGGUUCCGCACAGCCGGCAGCCAAGUGAGCAGAGAGGGGUGCUCGCAGUAGGCAUGCCCUCCCCCCAGCACUCAGCCGGCGCCCUUCCUGGCCCUCUGAGCCCCCGCCCAGCUUCCCACCCAGGCUGGGGGAGGUGUGCAAAAGCCCCCGGAGCCCCAGCACCCGGUCCCUGCCCCUACCCCGCCCUAAAAGCCCCCAGAGCUGCAGAGUCUGGGACCCUCUCUGCCUUUCGCCCCAGGCCGUACCUGAGAGAAAUGGGAGGGGAACCCCACCCCACCCCCACCCCCGUGCCCCUGCGGGUAUCCAAGCCCCAGCUGGGAGCCAGGACAGGGUGCCCUGGUAGGCUCUGUCCCCUGGGUCCCCAGGACAGCUGCUGACCACUUCUGUUCAGGUGAGAGGACCUUGGCCCGGCUCCAACCCCACCCCAACCCCCUGGCCCUCACCUGGGCCCUGCCCUCCAUGGGGGCGCCUGCACUGGGCAGGGGGCUUCCCCAGCCAGGUGUGCGUGUCUCCUAAGGAGGAGCUGCAGAGCCCGCGUGGCAGGUGGGCACAGAGCUGGGAGCCCUGCGGGCCUGUCCCCGGGAAUGG
RNAcentral lists this long non-coding RNA (1603 nucleotides) under Oryctolagus cuniculus (rabbit). RNAcentral's name for it is "lncRNA (ENSOCUG00000034846.1)". Lineage: Eukaryota; Metazoa; Chordata; Mammalia; Lagomorpha; Leporidae. The record is from RNAcentral.